This 252-nucleotide ribosomal RNA is filed under the name uncultured bacterium. RNAcentral's name for it is "partial 16S ribosomal RNA". It matches the Rfam family "Bacterial small subunit ribosomal RNA", at positions 524 to 775 of the family's 1533-position model. The record is from RNAcentral.
UACGUAGGGUGCGAGCGUUAAUCGGAAUUACUGGGCGUAAAGCGUGCGCAGGCGGUUCGUUAAGACAGAUGUGAAAUCCCCGGGCUUAACCUGGGAACUGCAUUUGUGACUGGCGAGCUAGAGUAUGGCAGAGGGGGGUAGAAUUCCACGUGUAGCAGUGAAAUGCGUAGAGAUGUGGAGGAAUACCGAUGGCGAAGGCAGCCCCCUGGGCCAAUACUGACGCUCAUGCACGAAAGCGUGGGGAGCAAACAG